AAAUAAUAACAGACACUUAUUGCAGUUAUGAUAUCUUCUCGCCAUUAGAAAACUAAACGAACAGAUUAUAACAUGCAAAGCAUUGGAAUUCAUGGCAGCGAACGAGGUCUGUGCCGGUUGUCUCAGAGAUAAUGAAGAAGAGAUUGCUGUCUCGUGGUGUAAUGACUGUGAUGAACCUGUGUGUCGACCUUGCAGUAAAGUUCAUAGAAGAUUUGUCAUACCUCACGAUGUUGUAGAUAUUAAACAUAUUCCUAACGUAAGCAAAGCCUUGACUAAGACUUGCAAAGACCACACAGGACAGAAAUUAAUCUUUGUUUGUGUAAAUCACGAUACAAUUGUGUGUCCUGCUUGUUUAUCUGAAUCACAUAAGGAGUGUGAUAUUAACCAUAUAGAGAAAGCUGCCAAAGGAAUCAAGGAUAGCUCAGCAAUACAUGAUCUCAAAGAACGAAUACACAACCAGAAAGGUGUCAUAUAAAAAGUGAAAGAGGAAUAUAAUGAGCUGUCUAGCAAGAUAGGCCAGGACAAGGAGCAGCAACAUGAACGACUGAUACAAUUACGUUCAACCAUUGAAGACCGUUUGAAUCGACUGGAGAAAAAUAUAGAUACUCAUUACAACCAAGGCGUUGAAAAAAUAUCAAGCAACACAGAACAUUUGAAGUCUCUAGCACAAACAACCCAAGCCAACCUGCAAGAUAUUGAAAAGGCAGACACAGAAGAGAGCGAAGUAAACUUAUUCCAUCUCGUGAAACAUCUCGAUACCAGUCAAUUGUCAGAUGAGGAAAAUCUUCAGUGUUUGGAAAAUGAAAUCAGUUCUUUGUCAAUACAGCAAAUUCCAGAAAAUGUCAUUGAAAAAGUUGACGCAAUGUUUAAUGAAUUUACUCAUGAUAUUCAGACGACGUCAAUAAAAGGUGAGCAAAGUGGGAAUAAGGCCCGGCAGUCACAAUUACGUAUCCAUUCAGAUGAAAAACAACCACUUAAUAAAAGUCGAACGUUUUACGCGGAUGUGUCUUCUACAUUCAAUGCCUGUUGCUUCAUUAACGAGAAUAAGAUAAUAGUUAUUGAAGAGCAAUUAAUUGACAUGAGCAAAAAUCUCAAUCUGCGAAUUAUUGAGCUGAAAGAUGGCCAGGCUCUCUCUUUUAUAGUUCUCAAAGGAUAUCACCAUGGUACUUGUUUUGAUACAAUAUGCAUGUUUGAUCGAAACAACGCACUUAUUGUUGGACAUAUGUGUGUAUACGUCAUAGACCUAGAAUUGAAAAAAUAUGCCCGUACAAUUAAUCUAGGAUACGAAUUAUCAUGCUGCAAAUGGGUUACUUGUAUCGAAAGCCAGAUUAUGAUUCUUUGUGGAAAAUCUGAGCGUCACUUCAUUUCUUGGAUAGAUUAUAACGGGAAAAAUUUGAGGAAACUGGAUUUACCAUAUGGUGUUUGUGAUUUAGAUAUCAAUGAUAAAAUUGUGUACUGCACUUUCAGCAAUGCAAACCAUGUGACCUAUACAACCUUCUCUGGUGUGACUAAUACAUCUUACACUAGUCUGGACUUGAGGGAAAGCUGUAAGAUUGCAGCUGGGGAUUCUACGAUAUUUCUGUUAGAAAGGGAUAGAAAUUCUGUCUACAAAGUAGAUAUUACAACCAAACAACGUUCUGUUUUUCUUAAGGACAAGUUCACUAACCCAACGCAUAUGAGUUUUGAUAGAAAGUCAAAACAACUCGCAGUGACGUGUGAUGAGGGAAAAUGUUUGAAAAUCUUCAAUACAUGUUUUUAAUGUGGACAUAACUGUUGUUGGAGUUAACCUGUAAACUUGUUAUAUUAUUGCUAAAAAAAGGGAAAUGUACGUUUGCUGAAAAAUUGCAUUUCUUAUAAUUGAAUUAGUCUAAUUAAAAUGAUUGUUGUGGGCUGUUUAAUUAUAAGCAAGAGAGAAUUGGAAAUAUAUACUGGAUUCUCUAAAAUUCAUGACAAUGUUUUACAAAACUAACAAUAGCAAAAAGAAUAGAUGAAGACGGAAUGAGUCUUCUAAAGUCAGUCUCCAACGGUAUCAUUACGUACAUUUCAACUCUUAACUUUUUUGGCGAUAAGACGCAUCAUUGAAAUUGGCGAGUUUUUAACAUUUGAGAAAAUAAGAUACCAAUUGCAUCAUGAAUGAAGACAACGAAAGAAAGGAGAUGAAAGUAUAAAAAAAACGGACCAAAAAUCAAAUAUGAAUCGUUUGGAACAAUUAUCUCGUCAAAACUGAGAGGGACAACUGGCGGUCCGGAAAGAGUAAACACUUAGUGGUCUUCUAGUUGCAAAUAGUUUGACGGAAUGUCGAGUAGGAAACCUGUAAAUCUUCCCCCAUUGAUAUACAUAUGCAAACAAAUGCAGUUGUGCAUUGUUUUGUUAUCAACAUUAAGAAAAUUCGGAUGUAAAACACACCAAUCUGAUUAAAUACAGAUCCUCUGUAAAACACGCUUCGUUCUACGUUUUGUUGUAAAGUCCUUUCGGGAUCCUCUUGUUUUGUCGGAUAAAUACACACCUUCAAAAAUUUGAGAGCUAACAUUUCAUUGGCUGAUAUAAUAAUAUCCAGAACAGAAAGUAAAAAGUAGUGUUUUCAGAUCGUUGUAACCAAAGCUUUGACACAUGAUCUGUAUUUUAAUCAGAUUAAAAACAUAUUUUCAUCAGUUCAAUUGACACUAAUAUUUGAAUCAUGAAUAUAUAUGAGGGGCCUGAUGGGGGGAUCUCAUCACGAUUCACGAGUUGAUUUUUUUGUCAAUCACGAUUCACAGAAAAUAAAUUUCCAUGAUCACGGAUCACGAAAAUAUAAAAAAAAAAAAUCUGUAGAAAAACGGAUCACGAUAGCGAAAAUGCGCCGAUCACGAAGAACGAAAAUAACCCAUCAGGCCCCUCAUAUAUUUAUUAAAAUAAUAUUAAAAUUUUAGGAUUUGGUCAUCUAAAUGUUUUCAAAUUUUAUAUACAUACUUUCCAACAAAGAAUCAUUGAUAAGGUUAUAGGGACACCUUUAAAUUCGAAAAGUUAAAUUCGUUUCGUAAAAAAAAAAUGUAUUACAAGGAGACAGAUUAACAUACGCACUUGUUGCUUGUUUCUGAAUCAUAUGUGUGAAUGUGAAUAUAUUGUAAUUCAGACUAUAAUAUAGUAAUUCUUUUUAAGUAUUAGUUUAUGCUUGUGUUGUAAAUUGUUUAAGUUUUCAUAUUUCUGUGUAUUGGCUUGAGUGUCCUUUAAGCACCUGCCCUUGGUGACUCCUGCAUAUGAACAACAAUACUAUUUGUUCAUAUGCAUCAGCCACGAGGAAGGACUUAACUCAAAAGCUUUUUCUAUAAUGGAUGUGAUGCUGCUUCUGGUGCAUGGUCAAUAAACACUAAACAUUAUGGUUUUUAUGGCUAUAUAUAUUAUUGACUCAAUUUAUAUUUCAUGUUUUUUGUGAGUUGUAUUUCUAUUUUUUAUUUUCUUGUGUAUUGUCUAUUGCAAUUGUGUGAUAAAAAAUCAAUGUACUGAUUAUAUAGAUAUAGGAAGAUGUGGUAUGAGUGCCAAUGAGACAACUCUCCAUCCAAGUUACAAUUUAUAAAAGUAAACCAUCAUAGGUCAAGGUACGGCCUUCAACACGGAGCAUUGGCUCACACCGAACAGCAAGCUAUAAAGGGCCCCAAAAAAUUACUAGUGUAAAACCAUUCAAACGGAAAAACCUAUGCCUAUAAUGGGUCCUCUAUUGGAAAUAAAAAUGUAUCUUAUCUUAUCUUGUCUUAUAAUAAUUCAUAAUAAAAUAUUGUGUUUUUUUUAUACACUAAAAAUAUAUAUUCAUAGAAUUGAAACGAACCCCCGUAUAUUACAUUUUUUUAACUAACAUAUCCUUUUAUUGCAUUCAGUGGUUUCACUGAGGCAUAUGUCCGACAGUCUGUUGAGCAUCAGUUUGAAAAUAAUUUAAGAAUCGAUGAACGGUCAAUUAUAGAUGAUUGUCAUUAUAAUUAAAGUAUGUUAACAUGA
Molecule: long non-coding RNA, 3969 nt
Organism: Mytilus californianus (California mussel)
Lineage: Eukaryota; Metazoa; Mollusca; Bivalvia; Mytilida; Mytilidae
Exons: 2
Source: RefSeq, a predicted model, not a curated record